AGAAAUCUUGAUCCUUUGAUUUUCUUUUAAGCUUUUCUUUCAUUUUUUUUGGCCCUUCUGCUUUAAUUGCUUCUCGCGUAUGGUAUGAAUCAUGACUAGAAAAAAGGAUGCGACAGCUUUGCUCUGGGAAAAGGCUGCAGGAGUUUUGCUUCAACAAGUCCACGAGAGAUUUCUGGACAAGGCUUGGAGUACUGCUCCAACUUAAAUAAGGUAGGUGCCGUUCUAACACUCCAAAAUUUAUUAUUUGGCUAUAUUAUUUACCUGAAUAAUAUUUCUUUGUCUGAUUGUAUUGGGUGUGAGAAGUUUUGAGGUUAUCAAAAUUAGGAGCUAAGGUAUGUGUUAUGUUGAUAAGAAUACCAUAUCUUUCCUUCAAUCAUGAUUACAUAACUUAACAAAGAGAGAAGCUAAUGGCCUCCAGGUGUAUUCAGUAAUAAUGAUAACCUCAAAAAAUUUCCUUAUGUAAUUGUAAUGUGCAUUAAUUUUCAAUUCAUACAUUUGUGUAUAAGUUGAUUGAUAGAUGGAGAGACAUCAAUGGCUUCUUUUUCUGGUACAUGUCUAAAGCCUACGCUUAUGGUGAUUGCCGGAAUAUAUGAUAUAGUUGAGGCGGGGACGAAAGGCAAUGGAAGUUUUGCAUCUGAACAUAGUCAUUGUCACAAAGUACGGAAAGGAGAAUCAUUGGACUCUCAAUCAUGUUCUAUAUCCAUGCCUAAUAGGACAACUUUAUGAAGGU
RNAcentral lists this long non-coding RNA (730 nucleotides) under Nicotiana tabacum (common tobacco). RNAcentral's name for it is "long non-coding RNA (NTAB_LNC007938)". Lineage: Eukaryota; Viridiplantae; Streptophyta; Magnoliopsida; Solanales; Solanaceae. The record is from RNAcentral.